GAGGGGAGUGAAAUAGAACCUGAAACCCUGCACUUACAAGCUGUGGAAGCACAUUUCUUGUGUGACCGCGUACUUUUUGUAGAACGGGCCAACGAGUUACGUUAAGUAGCAAGGUUAAGCACUUAAGGUGUGGAGCCGUAGCGAAAGCGAGUUUUAACUGAGCGUUCAGUUACUGGACGUAGACCCGAAACCGGGCGACCUACCCAUGAGCAGGAUGAAGCGAAAGUAAAAUUUCGUGGAGGUCCGAACCCACG
This 254-nucleotide ribosomal RNA is filed under the name Clostridioides difficile. RNAcentral's name for it is "partial 23S ribosomal RNA". It matches the Rfam family "Bacterial large subunit ribosomal RNA", at positions 531 to 784 of the family's 2925-position model. The record is from RNAcentral. Lineage: Bacteria; Bacillati; Bacillota; Clostridia; Peptostreptococcales; Peptostreptococcaceae.